CGGGUAUUUUUUUCCAUGGUAGUUUUCUUCUCCUCCCAAAAUGUAAAAUUUACAUCUAUAGAUUUUAAUAGUAUUUAUAUUUAAAUAAAGUUACAUAUUCAAAUUCCAUGUCUUUAAUUUAUUAAUAUUUUGUUUAUUAAAUUAUAUUUUUAAAUUUUUUUUAGAUUUAAACUUAUUUCAUAUUUUCAAUGUAUAUAUUUUUCAGAUCUAAUUUCUUUUUGAUAGAAUAGACUUCAAAUGAAAUCUAGUUAAAAGUUAGGGUUGGUAGACUUCACUCGAAGUCUACUAGCCUUGACUUUAAAGCAUAUUUCAUUAGAAGUUUAAUCAAAUAUGAUUUAAUUUUUAUCUUGUUUUUCAUAAUUUUAUCUUAUUUUCAGGUAUUCUCUUCCAAAGUUUUCAAAUCAUCUUCCCAAAAAUGUAAGUUUUACAUAUAUUCAUUAUAAGAUAUAUU
RNAcentral lists this long non-coding RNA (451 nucleotides) under Brassica rapa (field mustard). RNAcentral describes it as "long non-coding RNA (BRAP_LNC001335)". The record is from RNAcentral. Lineage: Eukaryota; Viridiplantae; Streptophyta; Magnoliopsida; Brassicales; Brassicaceae.